This 397-nucleotide ribosomal RNA is filed under the name uncultured bacterium. Its description in RNAcentral is "partial 16S ribosomal RNA". It matches the Rfam family "Bacterial small subunit ribosomal RNA", at positions 523 to 918 of the family's 1533-position model. The record is from RNAcentral.
AUACGUAGGUGGCAAGCGUUGUCCGGAAUUAUUGGGCGUAAAGCGCGCGCAGGCGGUCCUUUAAGUCUGAUGUGAGAGCCCACGGCUCAACCGUGGAGGGUCAUUGGAAACUGGAGGACUUGAGUGCAGAAGAGGAAAGUGGAAUUCCAAGUGUAGCGGUGAAAUGCGUAGAGAUUUGGAGGAACACCAGUGGCGAAGGCGACUUUCUGGUCUGUAACUGACGCUGAGGCGCGAAAGCGUGGGGAGCAAACAGGAUUAGAUACCCUGGUAGUCCACGCCGUAAACGAUGAGUGCUAAGUGUUAGGGGGUUUCCGCCCCUUAGUGCUGCAGCUAACGCAUUAAGCACUCCGCCUGGGGAGUACGGUCGCAAGACUGAAACUCAAAUGAAUUGGCGGGG